UCAGCUUUAUUGUAAUUUAUUGACAGCAAAUAUUUCACAACAAAACAGACAUUUUAUUCAAUUUAACUAAGUUUAUUACAAUAAAAAAAAAAAAAACCAAGCAAACAAGAGGAGAAAUAUUUCUAACUUCCCAGUCUGAGAGAGGGACCCUGGGAAAAGCCCCAUGAGCAGAGCCAUGUGCAGCAGGAGGGACUUUGUCCCUGCUGACGUUGCAGGAGGGUUCAGCCGUGACAUCCAACAGCCAAAUGGUGCCAGACUGAUUUUGAUGUUAAAAAAAUAAAAGUUAAAAAGAAAGGCACAGAUAGUGAGAGCCAUAUACAAUGUCAUCCACAAGCCUUUGGAUGGACAGACAGGAGCAGAGCUAAGUCACAACUUUUCCUCUCCAAAAAUUACUGGUAAAAGUAUCAAAGACAUUAUCUGGUUGUUUUAAUUUUUUAUCAAUUCUGUAGCAGCAUUGUUGCUCUAACGGUUUUUCCUUGCAAUGCUCUAUCCUCUGCAAACACUGUGGGUGAGUCCUCCAGUCAGGUCAUUUUCCUCAAAUUAACCAGCACUUCAGUUUCUAUAGACAGAAGUAGAGUCCAAGAGUGGCUGAAAAAGCAGAACCAUUUUACCAAGCCAUGACACAGCACAGCUCCACUUCCUGCUGUUCUGAUUCAAUCCAGUUUAUGCACCUACAGACACUGAUUUCUCUGAGAAGCAUUCAACAUCUACAGAAGGCAGACUGGUUUUAUUUUAUUUUAUUGGUGUCCAUCUCCAAAUACAAUUGUCAAGUAGUCUAAUACAGCAGAAACAGGAGUUUUGGGGGUCCCACCAACCUUUCCAUAGGUUGUGGAGUGUUAUGGGGACUUCCCAGCAGUUUGUUUUCCAUGCCCCUUCAGUAAUGUGAAGUUCCAGCUUUCAAACCAUCCACCAAUCCUGAUCAGGAAUCCAGAAAGGCACAGAAUCUUUUACCAAAAAAAACUGUCCCCAGCAAGCUUCACAAGACACUGAGUGUUUGAGUUCUCCCUCCAUCCUUCCCUCUUGAGGCCUUGCACCCAGCCCUACCUGUCUUACAGCAGACAUGCAGAGCUCUUGGGCUGUGUUCUGUGACAUCCAAGCCCAGCCACUGCAGGCACACAUCAACAUUCAAUUAUCCUGUUAAUGCUAUUCCAAAUGUAGAACAAAAACUUCCAACCUGAAAAUAUUUAAAUGCAGAAGUCACCAUAACACCUGCUUGCUCUAGCAGUCCUUGACUGGCCUCCACCUUCUCCUCUGACAUGUAAAUGUUCUUUCAACAAACAUCUGGAAAUCACAGAUUCCUCAUUUCAUCUUUUUUGAGAACAGUAUCACCUUAAAGAUGCAAAGACAAAAUAAAAGUUUUUCUCUAAACUGAAAGUUCUGAACUUUUUUCCACUUUCACUCUUUUUUUUUUUUUUUUUUUUUAAUGGGGAUCCGGUAAGUUUACAAACAACUUAUUUACAGUAUCUUUGUCACAUCUCAGUGAAAAUACUGAUAGGGAUAUAAAUACAAGGUGAAAUGUACAAGGGUGAAUACUGCCACUUUACAAUAUUUACACUUCCCUGUCACCACUGAACUAGUCUCUAAGUUUGCAGGUUGAAAAAAUCGGACAAACAAAAAAACAACCCCCAAAAAAAACCCCAAAUCAUCUGCACCCAAAGAUGGUUUGGAGGCCACACAGGAGAUGGGCAAAAAUUUGCCAUAACUUCUUGUCCUGGCUUGUAAGAUAAGCAUGUAUUCUAUUGCCAUCCGUUGGAGGUUGGGCAGUUUUCUUAUCUCUUCCAAGAACAAUGUCUCCCUCUGGGGAGAAAUCUUCUGUUAAUGGACCAUUGAAUAACUCACUGCAUGACCGGUAAAGUUACAUCAUCCCACUGUGAGAUGCUCCACCCAGAGGGAGGAGCUAAGCAUUCUUACCAGCAUAAAAUCAGCACUUUUUGAGAUACUGGCAGCCACUUCGCUGGAUUCCCAGAGGAGCAGCUUCUUCUCUGCUGAAUUCCCAGAGGAAGACCAGGCCCAACUACUACCAGACCUUCAGAGAAAACUCCACCCUUCUAGAGAUCACCACUUCAGCAGCAUUUCAUAUGCCGCUCCUGGAGGAGCAGCCACCAUUUUAACUGGACAACUACCAACACCCUGACCCCUCAGGGUGUCAGGUUUCUGACUCCAUCACUAGUUUCGUUUGUACUAAUUACAUUUGUUUUGUUAUUAUUUUUUUUAUUUAGUUUCUUCCUAGUAAAGAACUGUUAUUCCCAUUCCCAUAUCUUUGCCUGAGAGCCUUUUUUUAAAUUGUGGUAAUUCGGAGGGAGGGGGUUUACCUUUUUCACUUCACAGGAGGCUUUUGCCUUCCUUCAGAGACUCCUGUCUUUUCAAACCUAGACACUUAUUUAUUUUCAGUAUUGUUUCUUUAAACGGAACUAGUUUGAAUGAAGCUGCAGAACAGGAGCUGCAGCAUGUCCCCAGAUGGAUUCAGUGGGCAUUUGAAUGCUGCAGCCCAGCUGCUCCCAAGCACUGGGGACAGCUCAGCCUUGCAGGAGCCCCGUGAGGCUGCUCCCUGUGCGGUCACAGCUCCGAGCAGCACGGCUGGGGACCCCCGCAGCACACCCUGCUCAUCACCCAGCCCUGCAGAGAAACACAGGGUACCAAACAGCUCCACUGAAAGGCAGCUGGGAGCAAGAUGGACACAGUGCUUGGUUCCUAAAUGUGCACAAAGUAAAGCUACAGCACCAGAACACAUGUAUAAAUAUGGCCUGAGUUCUCUUUUUGCUUGCUGAAUUUGUACUUCUACUGAAAAAAACACCACUAUGGAAGACAUGAUAUUUAAAAUACUAAGUAAAGAGGUUAGUAUCAAAUACUAGAAGGACAAAAAUUUAUUUAGAGCUCCACAACAUACACAUCAACUCAGAAUCAAACUGAACUUGAACACAGCAAUCUUUGACAAAACCCAAGUGUGUAAAUGCCUGUUGUGCUCCUGGAGACUAUUUCAAAUGGUUUUUCCAACCUCUCUCAUUUUCAACCAAUAGCACUAAUAAAAUGCAUUCAGUACAGAGUUUUUGAACACUGAAGCUAGUAAUGGAGCCAGAAAGAAACUCAAAUAAUAACCAGAAACUUCCAAUUGAAAAAAUUAAAAGCAAAAUAAACUCCCAGCCAUCUGAGUUUUACCAGCUGAUCUAAGACUGAUCCCAUGUGCUCAUUUUCAAACUUAAGAGAAAUGACAAUCUGUUCUGUGGCAGACAGUGCAAAAGAAUUCAUAAAAGGAUAAGACAGUACAGCACUGUAUUUUGGAGGUAUUUAUACUUUAAUUUAAAAGGGCUUUGUUCAUAAUCACCUAUUUAUUAAGGUUUGUAAUUCAUAAGAAUAAAAAUCUAUGCAAUAAUCAAGAGUUUUAGGUUGGGUUAUUAAUGCACUUUGUUGCAAAAGUCUUUUCAAAACAUUUGCUGAACAGUCAUCUUUAAUUUUACUUAGGAAAAAAUAAUGAUUAACUUAAGUCCUAUGCACAUGAACAUCUUUAACAAGCUCCUUCUCUGCCCAUGUGCUAUCAUUAAGAUGAAUGGAAGCCCACCAGAUCAGCACUAUCCCCCCUGCAAUCCCUAAUGACCACUGUCAAUUCCUAACUUUUGUAGAAUUCAUUUUGUUUUAUGAACAAAAUUUUCUCACAAAGGUAAAACUGUGAAAUACUUCUACCAACACUUAAAUGAACUCACUGUGCCUUUUAAACCUUAACAGUAGCUUCCAGUACCUCCAAAUUGUGAUUUUAGUAAUUGCAAGAUUCUGCAAUUACCUGUAACAAUGCAAAGCACAAUGGACAUUAAAUACUUUUCUAUGCAAGGCACUUAAACAUCAACACAGGCUAAUAUUUAGCAACCAAAUCAACACAGUGAACAUUUAGUUUAAUUCACUAAGAUGGAGAAGAGUGGGCAAAGGAGUUGAGGGUGAGCUGUUCUUAUGUUUUUACUUCAGAAUAUAUGCAAGUUUCAUUGCAAAUAAGCCCCAUAAAAAAAAAAAAAGAACAAAAAAAAGAAGGAUUAAGAUAAAAUUUAAAUGGGUAACUUGGAAAUUUAAAUACUUGUCUGAUGCACAUGGCUUUCUUUUUAAAGCAAGUGCUGUCUUCUUAGGUAUUAAUGGUUCUUUGGAAAAAUCCACAUCACUGCUUAUCAAGACUAACAGGUGAGCU
Molecule: long non-coding RNA, 4168 nt
Organism: Taeniopygia guttata (zebra finch)
Lineage: Eukaryota; Metazoa; Chordata; Aves; Passeriformes; Estrildidae
Source: Ensembl